AGGUCCAAGCAAAACCUGUAAAAUGUUGCUGCUCCAUGUCAUUACUCUGGCUUUGGUUUUGUCUUAUGGAUGUGCACAAAUACAUCUGAGACAAGCUCAGUUGUCGAUUACCAGGGCAGAAACUAAAACUGCACGUAUAGUCUGUGAGGCUUCUGGCAUUCAGAACUUUGCAAAUGCUGUUAUACACUGGUAUCGACACAGACCUGGUGAAGCUCCGGAGCGGAUUCUGUACAUCUCUUCUGGACAACCUGUCUUUGACAAAGACGCAGAUAAGAAAAAGUUUAAUUGUGAUAAACAGGCUAACCAGCCCAUCUCUACCCUAACAGUAAAUGAAAUAGCUCCUAAUGAUGGAGCUACCUAUUAUUGUGCCUAUUGGGAUCUCACAGUGUUAGAAAGCCAUAGACAGCUUGUACAAAAACCUCACUCUGAAUACUAACCCAUAUCCUAUCAAAUUUAUGAACCUACAACUACCUGCCUGAUUUUACCAUCAGCUGUAGA
Molecule: non-coding RNA, 498 nt
Organism: Mauremys mutica (yellowpond turtle)
Lineage: Eukaryota; Metazoa; Chordata; Testudines; Geoemydidae
Source: the annotation of a RefSeq genome assembly